RNAcentral lists this ribosomal RNA (465 nucleotides) under uncultured bacterium. Its description in RNAcentral is "partial 16S ribosomal RNA". It matches the Rfam family "Bacterial small subunit ribosomal RNA", at positions 338 to 795 of the family's 1533-position model. The record is from RNAcentral.
CCUACGGGUGGCAGCAGUGGGGAAUAUUGCGCAAUGGGCGAAAGCCUGACGCAGCGACGCCGCGUGAGGGAUGAAGGUCUUCGGAUCGUAAACCUCUGUCAGCAGGGAAGAACGGUCACUGUGCUAAUCAGCAGUGAAUUGACGGUACCUGCAAAGGAAGCACCGGCUAACUCCGUGCCAGCAGCCGCGGGAAUACGUAGGGUGCGAGCGUUAAUCGGAAUUACUGGGCGUAAGGCGCUCGUAGGCGGUAUGUCAAGUCAAGGGUGAAAUCCCCGCGCUCAACGUGGGAACUGCCUUUGAAACUGGCGAGCUGGAGGGUGUGAGAGGAUCGUGGAAUUCCAGGUGUAGGAGUGAAAUCCGUAGAUAUCUGGAGGAACAUCAGUGGCGAAGGCGACUAUCUGGCACAUCACUGACGCUGAGGAGCGAAAGCGUGGGUAGCAAACAGGAUUAGAUACCCGAGUAGUC